GCUGAACGCUGGCGGCGUGCCUAAUACAUGCAAGUCGAGCGAAUGGAUUGAGAGCUUGCUCUUAUGAAGUUAGCGGCGGACGGGUGAGUAACACGUGGGUAACCUGCCCAUAAGACUAGGAUAACUCCGGGAAACCGGGGCUAAUACCGGAUAACAUUUUGAACCGCAUGGUUCGAAAUUGAAAGGCGGCUUCGGCUGUCACUUAUGGAUGGACCCGGGUCGCAUUAGCUAGUUGGUGAGGUAACGGCUCACCAAGGCAACGAUGCGUAGCCGACCUGAGAGGGUGAUCGGCCACACUGGGACUGAGACACGGCCCUGACUCCUACGGGAGGCAGCAGUAGGGAAUCUUCCGCAAUGGACGAAAGUCUGACGGAGCAACGCCGCGUGAGUGAUGAAGGCUUUCGGGUCGUAAAACUCUGUUGUUAGGGAAGAACAAGUGCUAGUUGAAUAAGCUGGCACCUUGACGGUACCUAACCAGAAAGCCACGGCUAACUACGUGCCAGCCGCCGCCGUAA
RNAcentral lists this ribosomal RNA (515 nucleotides) under uncultured bacterium. RNAcentral's name for it is "partial 16S ribosomal RNA". It matches the Rfam family "Bacterial small subunit ribosomal RNA", at positions 28 to 523 of the family's 1533-position model. The record is from RNAcentral.